This 253-nucleotide ribosomal RNA is filed under the name uncultured bacterium. Its description in RNAcentral is "partial 16S ribosomal RNA". It matches the Rfam family "Bacterial small subunit ribosomal RNA", at positions 524 to 776 of the family's 1533-position model. The record is from RNAcentral.
UACGUAGGUGGCGAGCGUUGUCCGGAUUUACUGGGCGUAAAGAGCGCGCAGGCGGUCGUUCAAGUCGCGUGUGAAAGCCCCCGGCUCAACUGGGGAGGGUCACGCGAUACUGAUCGACUCGAAGGCAGGAGAGGGAAGUGGAAUUCCCGGUGUAGUGGUGAAAUGCGUAGAUAUCGGGAGGAACACCCAGGGGGAAACCAGCGGACUGGGCAUCAGCUGACGCUCAGGUGCGACAGCGUGGGGAGCGAACCGG